Molecule: ribosomal RNA, 447 nt
Filed under: uncultured bacterium
Lineage: Bacteria
Description: bacterial SSU rRNA
Rfam family: Bacterial small subunit ribosomal RNA
Source: RNAcentral
UCGGGAAUUUUGGGCAAUGGGCGAAAGCCUGACCCAGCAACGCCGCGUGAAGGAUGAAAUCCCUCGGGAUGUAAACUUCGCAAGAAUGGAAAGAAUAAGUGGGUGCUAAUACCAUCCAUGAUGACGGUACCAUUUGUAAGCUCCGGCUAACUCCGUGCCAGCAGCCGCGGUAAUACGGGGGGAGCAAGCGUUGUUCGGAUUUACUGGGCGUAAAGGGCGCGUAGGCGGCCACCGCAAGUCAGUCGUGAAAUCUCCGGGCUUAACUCGGAACGGUCGACUGAUACUGCGGGGCUAGAGUGCGGAAGGGGCAACUGGAAUUCUCGGUGUAGCGGUGAAAUGCGUAGAUAUCGAGAGGAACACCUGCGGCGAAGGCGGGUUGCUGGGCCGACACUGACGCUGAUGCGCGAAAGCCAGGGGAGCGAACGGGAUUAGAUACCCCCGUAGUCC